UACGAAGGGGGCUAGCGUUGCUCGGAAUUACUGGGCGUAAAGCGCACGUAGGCGGCUUUCUAAGUCGGGGGUGAAAUCCUGGAGCUCAACUCCAGAACUGCCUUCGAUACUGGAAAGCUCGAGUCCGGGAGAGGUGAGUGGAACUGCGAGUGUAGAGGUGAAAUUCGUAGAUAUUCGCAAGAACACCAGUGGCGAAGGCGGCUCACUGGCCCGGUACUGACGCUGAGGCGCGAAAGCCAGGGGAGCAAACGGG
RNAcentral lists this ribosomal RNA (253 nucleotides) under uncultured bacterium. Its description in RNAcentral is "partial 16S ribosomal RNA". It matches the Rfam family "Bacterial small subunit ribosomal RNA", at positions 524 to 776 of the family's 1533-position model. The record is from RNAcentral.